Molecule: RNA transcript, 1418 nt
Organism: Pteropus alecto (black flying fox)
Lineage: Eukaryota; Metazoa; Chordata; Mammalia; Chiroptera; Pteropodidae
Gene name: dual specificity protein phosphatase 7 pseudogene
Exons: 1
Source: RefSeq, a predicted model, not a curated record
AUGUCCCCUUGGGGGCGUCAGAGACUGGAGUUCCAAGCUGGCACCCGCGCGGGAGCGGCGACGGGUGCUGGAGCCGUGUAGGGCGAGAGCGCCUAAUGGCUGCAGGAGGAGCUGGAGGCGCACGGCGGAGUGUCCUUGCUGCAGCUCCACUGCUGGCCUCACGAGCAUUCCGAGUCAUCGCACAUCGAGACGGCCAUCACCCUGACCAUCUCGGGCCUCAUGUUGCACCGCCGGCACUAGGACAACCUGCGCAUUCUCUCCAUCGACCCCGACGCCGCCGACAAGGAGCGCUUCACCACGCGCAGUAAGGCGGCCACUGUGCUGCUCUAUGAGGCCGAGGCCGAGUGGCAGCCAGAACCCGGCGCCCUCGCCUCGGUGCUUGGGCCUGCUCCUGCAAAAGCUGCGAGACGACGGCUGCCAGGCCUACUACCUCCAAGGUGGUUUUAACAAGUUCCAGACAGAGUACUCAGAGCACUGCCGUGACCAAUGUGGACAGCUGGUCCUGGCUGAGCAGCUCGCCAUCCACCUCAGCGCUGGGCCUGGGGGCCCUCCGCAUCAGUUCCUACAGGGAGUCCGAUCGAGAGCAGCCCAGCAGUGCCACCGAGUCGGACGGCAGCCCUGUGCCAUCCAGCCAACCGGCUUUCCCCGUCCAGAGCCUGCGCUACAUCUGCCUUGGCCGUGCCAAGAACUACACCAACCUUGACGUGCUUGGCAAGUAAAGACGGCAUCAAGUACAUCCUCAAUGUCACGCCCUACCUGUCCACUGCCUUCGAACACGGCGGCGAGUUCACCUCCAAGCAGAUCCUCAUCUCUGACCACUGGAGCCAGAACCUCUCAUAGUUCUUCCCCGAGCCAUCAGCUUCAUCGAUGAGGCCCGCUCAAGGAAGUGUGGUGUCCUGGUGCACUGCCUGGCAGGCAUCAGCCGCUCAGUGACGGUCACUGUGGCCUACCUUAUACAGAAGAUGAACUUGUCACUCACUGAUGCCUAUGACUUUGUCAAGAGGAAAAAGUCCAACAUCUCACCCAACUUCAACUUUAUGGGGCAACUGUUGGACUUCGAGUGGACGCUGGGGCUGAGCAGCCCGUGUGACAACCACACCCCCAGCCAGCAGCUGUAUUUCUUCAUGCCCACCAACCACAACCUGCUCCCACCCUCGAGUCCACGUGAAGCCAGGGGCACAGGUGGGCCUGUGAGUGGGCCCGUGCCUGCCUCGCCUGAGGAACCCGAACAUCGCCUGUGCCCAGAGGCCCAGGCUGAGGGUUGGCCAAGCUCCCCUUGCUAUCCUGGGGUGGGCCAAGCCAAGGCAAGGCCUCCAUCUGCAGGACUUUCCACAGAGGCCCCUCAGCGCUCAGACCUACAGCUGCAGUUUGAGUCUAGCGGGGCCUCAUCCUUGUCCCAGGACACUCCGUUCUGCUGA